Molecule: long non-coding RNA, 900 nt
Filed under: Homo sapiens (human)
Lineage: Eukaryota; Metazoa; Chordata; Mammalia; Primates; Hominidae
Description: HSALNT0162847
Source: RNAcentral
UCUACCCCCAGGGACUUAGAUAAUGACAGGCACUUCUGCUUCGCCCCAAAUGUUGCGUGUUCCAAGACCACCAUGGCCCACCACGACCCCAUCCUGGGCCUGUAAAAACUUGAGACCCAGCAAGGCAGAGACAGAAGCUACUGAACAGUGAGAGGAACACAUCAGCCAAAGAAGACAAGCGGCUGAACAUUGAGAGGAAGUCGAGGGAGCACGCCAUAGGAGGCCAGCAGGCUUGCAAGCCAUUGACUGACUGACUGAAGGGAAGACGCGGAGUGUGGCUGCAGCAGUCCGAGGAGAGCUGGGGCCGCCAGGCGACCCAAGUCCAGGGGAAGACCAUCUCCCUUCCGGCUCCCCCAUCGGCUGAGAGCUACUUCCACUCAGUAAAACUUUACAUUCAUUCUGCAAGCCCACUUGUGUUCCUAUUCUUCCGGUACACCAAGGCAAGAACCCGGGAUACAGAAAGCCCUCUGUCCUUACAACAAGGUAGAGGGUCUAAUUGAGCUGGUUAACACAAGACACUUAUAGACGGUAAACUAAAAGAGCACCUUGUAACACCCACUAGGGCUUCAGCUGUAAACAUUUACCCUCGACACUGCCUUGGGGUCGGAGCCCCACAGCCUGCCCUUCUGUAUGCUCCCCUAGAGGUCUGAGCAGCAGGGCACUGAAGAAGUGAGCCACAUCCCCAUCGCACGCCCAGCGAGGGGUACAAGGGAACCUUUCCCAUUUCAACUGGGGACCUCUCCUGGGAUCUUGGAAGGGUCCAGCUCUGUUACCCAUGCUAGAGUGCAUUGCACAAUCAUGGCUCACUGUGGCCUCGAACUCCUGGGUUCAAAUGAUCCUCCCACUUCAGCCUCUGGAUCAGCUAGGACUAUAGGUUUUUAUGUUCUAAUUAAUUCUAAA